GAAAACCAAUCAACCAAUAUAUUUCUACAUGAUAUCAAAGAUGUUAUUGUUGCUCAUCAAAUAGACAAACAAAUAGUUAUACAGAUUCAUAAGAAAUAUAUUUGUAAACAUUUGGUCAAAAAUAGCUUGGUUGGUUAGAGCUUCCUCCACCCUAUUUUUGUCAGAUGGGAAAAAUAUAGUGAUACAUUGAGUUUGUUUGUUAGAACAUUCUACAUAGAUUUAACAAAAUAUCCUAAAUUGUCUCUCU
Molecule: long non-coding RNA, 247 nt
Filed under: Oryza brachyantha (malo sina)
Lineage: Eukaryota; Viridiplantae; Streptophyta; Magnoliopsida; Poales; Poaceae
Description: long non-coding RNA (OBRA_LNC001852)
Source: RNAcentral